AUGGCUUGCUACCCUUGCAACCCCCACCCCCACCUCCCACCCGGCACCACCAUUGUUGGUCCUGCUCCUCUGCAUGAACAAAGAGGCUAUGUUGUUGUUGGAGGAGAACUCCCCAUGGUUUGCGAUGAGUGGGCCAUCGCCACGCUGGUCCCUGGCAUCGCCUCGGAGGAAUUUCAUGGUGCAAACGCCAUGAUCACAAACUUCUUGGAGAACAGAGGAUGGAGAAUCAACUACUCAUCGUGUUGUGGUAUGGGAUCUGCUCUUAUCCAAUUUACUACUGCAUGUUCCCGCGACUCUGCCAUUGCAAAUAUCUCAUAUCAGAUUGGGGACUCUGUUAUGAGGAUUACUAGGCAAGAUCAUGGACUGAACUAUCGCAACAUUGCUUUCACGCAUGAUGUCUGGUUAUUGCUAAUGAACUAUCCUCUUGAAUGCUGGGAUGUGAAUGUGAUUAGCCGUACUAUCGCACCCUAUGGAAGAUUUCUCAUUUGGAACAAAGAUCCUAGAGAUAAAACCAGAAUCAUUGUGAAAGUUAGAGUUAUUAAUCCAGAUACCUUACCUCUGAGUAUUGUGGUGCUUCGUAAUCUUGAUGAUAUUGGCUAUGGAGACUCAUGGACAUGCCCAACAUACAUCCUAUCCAGAGAAAUUAUUGGGCAGUAGGGAGGGGAUGAGGAUCCUCUGCCUGUAGAUGGAGGAAACCCUCACCCUCUGCCACAUGUCCAUGGUGGUUUUUGGCAUGAUGAGGUUAUUGGCAAUAUUCCUAUGGAACAAGUGGUUAUUAACCCUCACAAUGAGAACCUGGGUGCCCCCUAUGAGGAUGUUCAUGCUGCAGAGGGUCACCAUUUCAAUGUGGCAGAAAUCCAGGAGCAAUUUCAAGUUGUUAUUAACAACAACUUACCUGAUGUUGCACCAGCUGCUGUUAAUGAAGCUCCCCAUGUUGUUGCUGAGGUUGCACCUGCUGCUGUGAAUGAUGAUCUGAAUCUCAAUGUAAGCCCAGAAACUAAAGUUCAAGUUGCUGCUGUACCUGAUGAAGAGGUUCAUAUUUCUGUUCCAGCAGAAGAGGAUUUCAUCCCUAUCCCAAUGGAAGACAGCCCAGUAUUUUCUCCUUAG
Molecule: ribosomal RNA, 1107 nt
Filed under: Triticum aestivum (bread wheat)
Lineage: Eukaryota; Viridiplantae; Streptophyta; Magnoliopsida; Poales; Poaceae
Description: partial small subunit ribosomal RNA
Source: RNAcentral